GUCUUCACCCAGGGCCAGGGGCAGGAUCCAGAUGCAUGCAUGACACUCUGGAGAUGUCCCAAGUGACCUGCGAGCGACUUGAGGCAAUAAGCUGUUGGGAGGCAGAAAAGCUUUAUUUAGCUCUUCUCCCUCAGAUGCAGAGGAACUUUGCGUCUUACGUAGUUUUGCCUGUGAAAACUCGAGGUCCUCUUGGCUUCUUCCGCUCAGCUGCUUCCCUCCGUGCAUGCCUUUUCGGCUCUGGGUUGCUGUAGGAGGAGUUUGCGGUCGCCUCCCCCUCUGACGUCCAGAGGCCAGAUUCUCCCACCAAGGUGAGCCCCUUCAUUCCCCUAGGAGAAUGU
RNAcentral lists this long non-coding RNA (338 nucleotides) under Anas platyrhynchos platyrhynchos (common mallard). Its description in RNAcentral is "lncRNA (ENSAPLG00000018137.1)". The record is from RNAcentral. Lineage: Eukaryota; Metazoa; Chordata; Aves; Anseriformes; Anatidae.